UGGGAUGUAGCUCAGUGUUAGAGCACUUGCCUAGCAUGCAUGGGGCCUUGUGUUCAAUCCUCAGCACUGUAA
Molecule: transfer RNA, 72 nt
Filed under: Cavia porcellus (domestic guinea pig)
Lineage: Eukaryota; Metazoa; Chordata; Mammalia; Rodentia; Caviidae
Rfam family: tRNA
About the family: Transfer RNA (tRNA) molecules are approximately 80 nucleotides in length. Their secondary structure includes four short double-helical elements and three loops (D, anti-codon, and T loops).
Source: Rfam by way of RNAcentral